This 253-nucleotide ribosomal RNA is filed under the name uncultured bacterium. Its description in RNAcentral is "partial 16S ribosomal RNA". It matches the Rfam family "Bacterial small subunit ribosomal RNA", at positions 524 to 776 of the family's 1533-position model. The record is from RNAcentral.
UACGGAGGUCCCAAGCGUUGUUCGGAUUCAUUGGGCGUAAAGGGUGCGUAGGCGGUGGGGUAAGUUGGAUGUGAAAUCUUGGGGCUUAACCUCAAAAUUGCAUUCAAUACUGCUCUGCUCGAGUUCUGUAGAGGAGAUUGGAAUUUACGGUGUAGCAGUGAAAUGCGUAGAUAUCGUAAGGAACGCCAGUGGCGAAAGCGAAUCUCUGGGCAGCAACUGACGCUGAGGCACGAAGGCCAGGGGAGCAAACGGG